RNAcentral lists this ribosomal RNA (497 nucleotides) under uncultured bacterium. RNAcentral describes it as "partial 16S ribosomal RNA". It matches the Rfam family "Bacterial small subunit ribosomal RNA", at positions 28 to 507 of the family's 1533-position model. The record is from RNAcentral.
GAUGAACGCUGGCGGCGUGCCUAAUACAUGCAAGUCGAGCGAACAGAUGAGGAGCUUGCUCCUCUGACGUUAGCGGCGGACGGGUGAGUAACACGUGGAUAACCUACCUAUAAGACUGGGAUAACUUCGGGAAACCGGAGCUAAUACCGGAUAAUAUAUUGAACCGCAUGGUUCAAUAGUGAAAUACGGUUUUGCUGUCACUUAUAGAUGGAUCCGCGCCGCAUUAGCUAGUUGGUAAGGUAACGGCUUACCAAGGCAACGAUGCGUAGCCGACCUGAGAGGGUGAUCGGCCACACUGGAACUGAGACACGGUCCAGACUACUACGGGAGGCAGCAGUAGGGAAUGUUCCGCAAUGGGCGAAAGCCUGACGGAGCAACGCCGCGUGAGUGAUGAAGGUCUUCGGAUCGUAAAACUCUGUUAUUAGGGAAGAACAAAUGUGUAAGUAACUAUGCACGUCUUGACGGUACCUAAUCAGAAAGCCACGGCUAACUACGUG